Molecule: ribosomal RNA, 2451 nt
Filed under: Salmonella enterica subsp. enterica serovar Oslo
Lineage: Bacteria; Pseudomonadati; Pseudomonadota; Gammaproteobacteria; Enterobacterales; Enterobacteriaceae
Description: partial 23S ribosomal RNA
Rfam family: Bacterial large subunit ribosomal RNA
Source: RNAcentral
GGGACACGUGGUAUCCUGUCUGAAUAUGGGGGGACCAUCCUCCAAGGCUAAAUACUCCUGACUGACCGAUAGUGAACCAGUACCGUGAGGGAAAGGCGAAAAGAACCCCGGCGAGGGGAGUGAAAAAGAACCUGAAACCGUGUACGUACAAGCAGUGGGAGCACCCUUUUGGGUGUGACUGCGUACCUUUUGUAUAAUGGGUCAGCGACUUAUAUUCUGUAGCAAGGUUAACCGAAUAGGGGAGCCGGAGGGAAACCGAGUCUUAAUUGGGCGUUAAGUUGCAGGGUAUAGACCCGAAACCCGGUGAUCUAGCCAUGGGCAGGUUGAAGGUUGGGUAACACUAACUGGAGGACCGAACCGACUAAUGUUGAAAAAUUAGCGGAUGACCUGUGGCUGGGGGUGAAAGGCCAAUCAAACCGGGAGAUAGCUGGUUCUCCCCGAAAGCUAUUUAGGUAGCGCCUCGUGAAUUCAUCUCCGGGGGUAGAGCACUGUUUCGGCUAGGGGGCCAUCCCGGCUUACCAACCCGAUGCAAACUGCGAAUACCGGAGAAUGUUAUCACGGGAGACACACGGCGGGUGCUAACGUCCGUCGUGAAGAGGGAAACAACCCAGACCGCCAGCUAAGGUCCCAAAGUCAUGGUUAAGUGGGAAACGAUGUGGGAAGGCCCAGACAGCCAGGAUGUUGGCUUAGAAGCAGCCAUCAUUUAAAGAAAGCGUAAUAGCUCACUGGUCGAGUCGGCCUGCGCGGAAGAUGUAACGGGGCUAAACCAUGCACCGAAGCUGCGGCAGCGACGCUCAGGCGUUGUUGGGUAGGGGAGCGUUCUGUAAGCCUGUGAAGGUGGCCUGUGAGGGUUGCUGGAGGUAUCAGAAGUGCGAAUGCUGACAUAAGUAACGAUAAAGCGGGUGAAAAGCCCGCUCGCCGGAAGACCAAGGGUUCCUGUCCAACGUUAAUCGGGGCAGGGUGAGUCGACCCCUAAGGCGAGGCCGAAAGGCGUAGUCGAUGGGAAACGGGUUAAUAUUCCCGUACUUGGUGUUACUGCGAAGGGGGGACGGAGAAGGCUAUGUUGGCCGGGCGACGGUUGUCCCGGUUUAAGCGUGUAGGUGUGUGUUCCAGGUAAAUCCGGUUCACUUUAACACUGAGGCGUGACGACGAGGCACUACGGUGCUGAAGCAACAAAUGCCCUGCUUCCAGGAAAAGCCUCUAAGCAUCAGGUAACAUCAAAUCGUACCCCAAACCGACACAGGUGGUCAGGUAGAGAAUACCAAGGCGCUUGAGAGAACUCGGGUGAAGGAACUAGGCAAAAUGGUGCCGUAACUUCGGGAGAAGGCACGCUGACACGUAGGUGAAGUGAUUUACUCAUGGAGCUGAAGUCAGUCGAAGAUACCAGCUGGCUGCAACUGUUUAUUAAAAACACAGCACUGUGCAAACACGAAAGUGGACGUAUACGGUGUGACGCCUGCCCGGUGCCGGAAGGUUAAUUGAUGGGGUCAGCGCAAGCGAAGCUCCUGAUCGAAGCCCCGGUAAACGGCGGCCGUAACUAUAACGGUCCUAAGGUAGCGAAAUUCCUUGUCGGGUAAGUUCCGACCUGCACGAAUGGCGUAAUGAUGGCCAGGCUGUCUCCACCCGAGACUCAGUGAAAUUGAACUCGCUGUGAAGAUGCAGUGUACCCGCGGCAAGACGGAAAGACCCCGUGAACCUUUACUAUAGCUUGACACUGAACAUUGAGCCUUGAUGUGUAGGAUAGGUGGGAGGCUUUGAAGCGUGGACGCCAGUCUGCGUGGAGCCGACCUUGAAAUACCACCCUUUAAUGUUUGAUGUUCUAACGUGGACCCGUUACCCGGGUUGCGGACAGUGUCUGGUGGGUAGUUUGACUGGGGCGGUCUCCUCCUAAAGAGUAACGGAGGAGCACGAAGGUUGGCUAAUCCUGGUCGGACAUCAGGAGGUUAGUGCAAUGGCAUAAGCCAGCUUGACUGCGAGCGUGACGGCGCGAGCAGGUGCGAAAGCAGGUCAUAGUGAUCCGGUGGUUCUGAAUGGAAGGGCCAUCGCUCAACGGAUAAAAGGUACUCCGGGGAUAACAGGCUGAUACCGCCCAAGAGUUCAUAUCGACGGCGGUGUUUGGCACCUCGAUGUCGGCUCAUCACAUCCUGGGGCUGAAGUAGGUCCCAAGGGUAUGGCUGUUCGCCAUUUAAAGUGGUACGCGAGCUGGGUUUAGAACGUCGUGAGACAGUUCGGUCCCUAUCUGCCGUGGGCGCUGGAGAACUGAGGGGGGCUGCUCCUAGUACGAGAGGACCGGAGUGGACGCAUCACUGGUGUUCGGGUUGUCAUGCCAAUGGCACUGCCCGGUAGCUAAAUGCGGAAGAGAUAAGUGCUGAAAGCAUCUAAGCACGAAACUUGCCCCGAGAUGAGUUCUCCCUGAGACUUAGAGUCUCCUGAAGGAACGUUGAAGACGAC